Molecule: ribosomal RNA, 484 nt
Filed under: uncultured bacterium
Lineage: Bacteria
Description: bacterial SSU rRNA
Rfam family: Bacterial small subunit ribosomal RNA
Source: RNAcentral
AUUGAACGCUGGCGGCAGGCCUAACACAUGCAAGUCGAACGGCAGCGGGGGAUAGCUUGCUAUCCUGCCGGCGAGUGGCGGACGGGUGAGUAAUGCAUGGGGAGCUGCCCAAUCGAGGGGGAUACCAGCUGGAAACGGCUGCUAAUACCGCAUACGCCCUGAGGGGGAAAGGUGGGGACCUUCGGGCCUACCGCGAUUGGAUGCACCCAUGUGGGAUUAGCUAGUUGGUGAGGUAACGGCUCACCAAGGCGACGAUCUCUAGCUGGUCUGAGAGGAUGACCAGCCACACUGGAACUGAGACACGGUCCAGACUCCUACGGGAGGCAGCAGUGGGGAAUAUUGCACAAUGGGGGAAACCCUGAUGCAGCCAUGCCGCGUGUGUGAAGAAGGCCCUCGGGUUGUAAAGCACUUUCAGUGGGGAGGAAGGGUUGAUGUCUAAUACGCAUCAGCAUUGACGUUACCCACAGAAGAAGCACCGGCUACU